RNAcentral lists this ribosomal RNA (1598 nucleotides) under Goura sclaterii (Sclater's crowned-pigeon). RNAcentral's name for it is "16S ribosomal RNA". It matches the Rfam family "Bacterial large subunit ribosomal RNA". The record is from RNAcentral. Lineage: Eukaryota; Metazoa; Chordata; Aves; Columbiformes; Columbidae.
AGCCCAGAUCUAGCCCAACCACCUGUAAUCAAAUGUACUUAAAAAUCAAUUCAACCUUUAGACUAAACCAUUCUCCCAACUUAGUAUAGGCGAUAGAAAAGGCUAUUAGGCGCGAUAGAGACUUGUACCGUAAGGGAAAGAUGAAAUAACAAUGAACAAGCCAAGCAACAAAUAGCAAAGAUAAGCCCUUGUACCUCUUGCAUCAUGAUUUAGUAAGAACAACCAAGCAAAGCGGCCUUAAGCUUGCCACCCCGAAACCCAAGCGAGCUACUUACGAGCAGCUAUCCUUGAGCGAACCCGUCUCUGUUGCAAAAGAGUGGGAUGACUUGUUAGUAGAGGUGAAAAGCCAAUCGAGCUGGGUGAUAGCUGGUUACCUGCGAAAUGGAUCUAAGUCCCGCCUUGACACUUCUCCCCAAGGACCUUCAGCCACCCCAAUGAAGACGGUCAAGAGUAACUUAAAGGAGGUACAGCUCCUUUAAAAGAGAAUACAACCUUCCCUAGCGGAUAUCCUUCAACCCAACCAACAACUACUGUGGGCCUUCAAGCAGCCACCAACAAAGAAUGCGUCAAAGCUCCAUUCCCCCAAAAAUCCCAACACCACACGAUUCCCUUCCCACCAGCAGGUUAACCUAUAAUAAUAGGAGAAUUAAUACUAGAAUGAGUAACUAGGGUACACCCCUCUUAAGCGCAAACUUACAUUCCCCUCACAUUAUUAACAGGCAACUAAUACUCCUACGCCAACAAGAUUGCGUAUUUCACCCUCUGUUAGCCCAACCCAGGAGCGCCCACUAGAAAGAUUAAAAUCUGCUAAAGGAACUAGGCAAACCCUAAGGCCCGACUGUUUACCAAAAACAUAGCCUUCAGCUUGACAAGUAUUGAAGGUGAUGCCUGCCCAGUGACUUCAUGUUUAACGGCCGCGGUAUCCUAACCGUGCGAAGGUAGCGCAAUCAAUUGUCCCAUAAAUCGAGACUUGUAUGAAUGGCUAAACGAGGUCUUAACUGUCUCUUGCAGAUAAUCAGUGAAAUUGAUCUCCCUGUGCAAAAGCAGGGAUAAACACAUAAGACGAGAAGACCCUGUGGAACUUAAAAAUCAGCAGCCACCUCACAACAAAAUCAAACCUAUAAGGCCCACCAUCACAGCAAACGCUGGCUCGCAUUUUUCGGUUGGGGCGACCUUGGAGAAAAACAAACCCUCCAAAAAUAAGACCACCCCCUCUUAACUAAGAGCAACCCCUCAACGUACUAACAGUAACCAGACCCAAUACAAUUGAACAAUGGACCAAGCUACCCCAGGGAUAACAGCGCAAUCCCCUCCAAGAGCCCAUAUCGACAAGGGGGUUUACGACCUCGAUGUUGGAUCAGGACAUCCUAAUGGUGCAGCCGCUAUUAAGGGUUCGUUUGUUCAACGAUUAACAGUCCUACGUGAUCUGAGUUCAGACCGGAGUAAUCCAGGUCGGUUUCUAUCUAUGAUCAACUUUUCCUAGUACGAAAGGACCGGAAAAAUGGGGCCAAUACACCAAUGCACGCCCCCUCUCUAAGUGAUGACCUCAACUAAAUUACCAAGAGACCUCCCAUAACUACCAAUCCUAGAAAAGGACC